Molecule: long non-coding RNA, 739 nt
Organism: Xiphophorus hellerii (green swordtail)
Lineage: Eukaryota; Metazoa; Chordata; Actinopteri; Cyprinodontiformes; Poeciliidae
Exons: 2
Source: RefSeq, a predicted model, not a curated record
CUGACCUUCCCGGUUUGUUCCUCCGUGUUAAUGAUGCUACUAAUUACCAAAUGUUCUCUAAAACCUCUUAGGCCUUCACCAGUUUCCUCCAUAACGUCUUAAAAGCAGCACCGAAUAAUCCAGAAGAAAUAAAAAUACAUGGACAGCCGCAGUUAGAUAAAUCUGCUGUACGCCUGAAAGAGACGUCUGGACGUUAACGCCUGCUGACCGAUGUUAGCGCCUGCUGACAAAGUGCUAAAUCAUGUCUUGUUCUGGGAGGCUGGACUCUGACCUUGGGAGGCGUCUCGCAUCAGCUGAUUGAUGGCAGAUAGACAACGCGGCACAUUGAAGACAAAGUGAUCGAUUGGGUUUGGACUCACUCAGCUCUUUCUGAUCCCCGGCCUGGACCCGGUUCAACUAAUCCGACACAGUAUAUGUCUUAUUACUGUUUUGCUGUGCUGAGUCAUGCUGUUAGGUUGUAUCCUCACUGCAUGAUUUGGUAUUUAAGUUUUUGUUCACUCAGGGAAAAUUCUUGUUUACUUGUCAAUUACUGCAGCUAAGCCUUUAAACAUAUCAGAAGUAUUUCUAUUUCACAGUGUGAUUUAAACUGUGUAAAAAUAAAUGUUUUGACCCACAAUCUGCCAUGAAUGAAAUAUUGACAUCAAGUUGAACAAAACGUUGUUCCAACAUUUGCUGAAGUUCCAAAUUUGACAGUUCAAGAAAUCAACAUUUUGAUUAAAUAUGAAAAUAUCUAUUUCCA